GACGAACGCUGGCGGCGUGCUUAACACAUGCAAGUCGAACGGAAAGGCCCUGCUUUUGUGGGGUGCUCGAGUGGCGAACGGGUGAGUAACACGUGAGUAACCUGCCCUUGACUUUGGGAUAACUUCAGGAAACUGGGGCUAAUACCGGAUAGGAGCUCCUGCUGCAUGGUGGGGGUUGGAAAGUUUCGGCGGUUGGGGAUGGACUCGCGGCUUAUCAGCUUGUUGGUGGGGUAGUGGCUUACCAAGGCUUUGACGGGUAGCCGGCCUGAGAGGGUGACCGGCCACAUUGGGACUGAGGUACGGCCCAGACUGCUACGGGGGGCAGCAGUGGGGAAUAUUGCACAAUGGGCGGAAGCCUGAUGCAGCAACGCCGCGGGCGGGAUGACGGCCUUCGGGUUGUAAACCGCUUUCGCCUGUGACGAAGCGUGAGUGACGGUAAUGGGUAAAGAAGCACCGGCUAACUACGUG
RNAcentral lists this ribosomal RNA (468 nucleotides) under uncultured bacterium. Its description in RNAcentral is "partial 16S ribosomal RNA". It matches the Rfam family "Bacterial small subunit ribosomal RNA", at positions 28 to 507 of the family's 1533-position model. The record is from RNAcentral.